Molecule: long non-coding RNA, 353 nt
Organism: Anthonomus grandis grandis
Lineage: Eukaryota; Metazoa; Arthropoda; Insecta; Coleoptera; Curculionidae
Exons: 2
Source: RefSeq, a predicted model, not a curated record
CUUUAUCACUUUAUAUUUCUGACUACUCUGUUACUGUCAUCAACUUGUGGUCAUGAAACCACUACUUCCAGCCCUAUUUCUUUAAGCUCUAUUCCAAUCGGAAUUUGUCGCAUAAGGUGUGCUAGGAUAGCUUGUUCGCUAGUAGUUCCAAUAUGUGAAGAUGGUUCUGUUAUAGGUAGCACUAGUUUAUGCGAUUGCUGUCACAAUCGAUGUGUCAUUCCUAAAGGAGGGAGUUGUUUCAAGGGUGGCAUCCCAUGUGGCUAUCCCUAUACUUGCUGCAACGGUAAAUGCAACACUCUGAUUUGGUCUGGUUGUUAAUAAUUUUUAAAUAAAUGAGUAGUUUAGUAGAAAAA